RNAcentral lists this ribosomal RNA (254 nucleotides) under uncultured bacterium. RNAcentral describes it as "partial 16S ribosomal RNA". It matches the Rfam family "Bacterial small subunit ribosomal RNA", at positions 524 to 776 of the family's 1533-position model. The record is from RNAcentral.
CACGUAGGGGGCAAGCGUUGUCCGGAUUUAUUGGGCGUAAAGAGCUCGUAGGUGGUUCGGUAAGUCGGGUGUUAAACCCCCAGGCUCAACCUGGGGACGCCACUCGAUACUGCUGUGACUAGAGUCCGGUAGGGGAGCGUGGAAUUCCAGGUGUAGCGGUGAAAUGCGUAGAUAUCUGGAGGAAUACCGGUGGCGAAGGCGGCAUCCUGGACCGACAUUGACGCUGAUGAGCGAAAGCUAGGGGAGCAAACGGG